UACGAAGGGGCUAGCGUUGUUCGGAAUUACUGGGCGUAAAGCGUAUGCAGGCGGAUCAUUAAGUCGGGGGUGAAAUCCCGAGGCUCAACCUCGGAACUGCCUUCGAUACUGAUGAUCUUGAGUCCGGGAGAGGUGAGUGGAACUGCGAGUGUAGAGGUGAAAUUCGUAGAUAUUCGCAAGAACACCAGUGGCGAAGGCGGCUCACUGGCCCGGUACUGACGCUGAGGUGCGAAAGCGUGGGGAGCAAACAGG
This 252-nucleotide ribosomal RNA is filed under the name uncultured bacterium. RNAcentral describes it as "partial 16S ribosomal RNA". It matches the Rfam family "Bacterial small subunit ribosomal RNA", at positions 524 to 776 of the family's 1533-position model. The record is from RNAcentral.